This 497-nucleotide ribosomal RNA is filed under the name uncultured bacterium. RNAcentral describes it as "partial 16S ribosomal RNA". It matches the Rfam family "Bacterial small subunit ribosomal RNA", at positions 28 to 507 of the family's 1533-position model. The record is from RNAcentral.
GAUGAACGCUGGCGGCGUGCCUAAUACAUGCAAGUCGAGCGAACGGACGAGAAGCUUGCUUCUCUGAUGUUAGCGGCGGACGGGUGAGUAACACGUGGAUAACCUACCUAUAAGACUGGGAUAACUUCGGCAAACCGGAGCUAAUACCGGAUAAUAUUUUGAACCGCAUGGUUCAAAAGUAAAAGACGGUCUUGCUGUCACUUAUAGAUGGAUCCGCGCUGCAUUAGCUAGUUGGUAAGGUAACGGCUUACCAAGGCAACGAUGCAUAGCCGACCUGAGAGGGUGAUCGGCCACACUGGAACUGAGACACGGUCCAGACUCCUACGGGAGGCAGCAGUAGGGAAUCUUCCGCAAUGGGCGAAAGCCUGACGGAGCAACGCCGCGUGAGUGAUGAAGGUCUUCGGAUCGUAAAACUCUGUUAUUAGGGAAGAACAUAUGUGUAAGUAACUGUGCACAUCUUGACGGUACCUAAUCAGAAAGCCACGGCUAACUACGUG